CAGUCGCCACGGGAAUACGGAGGGUGCAAGCGUUAAUCGGAAUUACUGGGCGUAAAGCGCACGCAGGCGGUCUGACAAGUCAGAUGUGAAAUCCCCGGGCUUAACCUGGGAACUGCAUUUGAAACUGUCAGGCUGGAGUCUUGUAGAGGGGGGUGGAAUUCCAGGUGUAGCGGUGAAAUGCGUAGAGAUCUGGAGGAAUACCGGUGGCAAAGGCGGCCCCCUGGACAAAGACUGACGCUCAGGUGCGAAAGCGUGGGGAGCAAACAGGAUUAGAUACCCGCGUAGUCCCUGUCUCUUAUAC
This 301-nucleotide ribosomal RNA is filed under the name uncultured bacterium. RNAcentral describes it as "partial 16S ribosomal RNA". It matches the Rfam family "Bacterial small subunit ribosomal RNA", at positions 509 to 807 of the family's 1533-position model. The record is from RNAcentral.